This 253-nucleotide ribosomal RNA is filed under the name uncultured bacterium. RNAcentral describes it as "partial 16S ribosomal RNA". It matches the Rfam family "Bacterial small subunit ribosomal RNA", at positions 524 to 776 of the family's 1533-position model. The record is from RNAcentral.
GACGAACCGUGCGAACGUUGUUCGGAUUCACUGGGCUUAAAGGGCGCGUAGGCGGGCAUUCAAGUCAGGGGUGAAAUCUUUCGGCUUAACCGGAAAACAGCUUCUGAUACUGAGUGUCUAGAGGGAGGUAGGGGCAUGCGGAACUUCCGGUGGAGCGGUGAAAUGCGUUGAUAUCGGAAGGAACUCCGGUGGCGAAAGCGGCGUGCUGGACCUCCUCUGACGCUGAGGCGCGAAAGCUAGGGGAGCAAACGGG